Macadamia integrifolia is the source of this 653-nucleotide long non-coding RNA. RefSeq lists it as uncharacterized. The transcript has 2 exons. The record is from RefSeq and is a predicted model, not a curated record. Lineage: Eukaryota; Viridiplantae; Streptophyta; Magnoliopsida; Proteales; Proteaceae.
GAGGAAAACAGGAAUAACGGUUUGGUUAAGGUUUUUCCUGCAUUCCAUUAUCAAGGAAAGCUCUUCAAGGCAUCGUGUUGAAGAAGCAUAGUUCCUCGAGAAUAUGAUAAUUGCGCAUCUUGAUUCCUUGAUUCCUUUCAUGACCGCAGCAGAGAUCUGGUCUCCUCUUUUCGAGAUCUCUGCUUGGUCAUUGAAUGUUUUGAUGUUGGCCCUCUCCAGGGAAGUGUAGAGCUUACUUGCCAAACUGUGCCAUGUUUCUUCUUCUUCUUCUUUGUAACUCAAUAUUACAUCGUAAUUCCAUCUAGAGGAGGAAGAGGAUGACGUGCGGGAUUCCAUCAAUCUAAAGCAAAGUUGCAAAACUAAUUUGAUCCGAAAAGAUUUUCAACUCUGAAGUCUGAAGUGAGAUGGAUCACAGAAUUCUCUUCUGUAGGGCCGCAUAGAGGUCAUGUGUGAAACUGUGUCGUGUGUCUUCUCCUCUGAAACUCAAGAAUACAUUCCAUCGAAAAGUGGAUGAUGAGAUGGCCAUCAAUCUGAAGCGGAGUUGCAGAACUUAAUUAAUUUGCUGUGAAAAAUGUGUGAAAGUUGAAUUGGAGAGGAUGGGAGAAAGCCGGUACUAUAUCACAUAUUUCAAAAGUAGAACUCAGUAUUCCCAA